AUGGCACGUGACUCGUCCUCCUCCCGCCUCCGCGUCGUCGACACCGCCGUCGUCACACCGUCCGGCCCGCCGCUGCCGCCGUCCUCCCUCCCGCUCACCUUCCUGGACCUGCAGUGGAUCCAUUCCCCGCCCGUCGAGCGCAUCUUCUUCUACCACAUCGGCGCCGCCCAUGCCGACCUCGUCGUCUCCAGCCUCAAGGCCUCGCUCUCCACGGCCCUCCGCGCCUUCUUCCCGCUUGCCGGCCGCCUCCGCGCCACCACCGCCAACGGCCGCCCCGACAUCUUCUACGAGCCCGGGGACGGCGUCACCUUCACAGUCGCCGAGUACGACGCCGACCUCAGCGACCUCGCAUCCGACCAUCACCCCAGGCAGGUCGCUGAGCUCGUCCAGCUCGUUCCGCGCCUACGGCACGCCGACGCCGACGGAGGCGCUGCGCUUCUCUCCGUGCAGGCCACCGUGCUGCUGCCGCGGGGUGACCUCGCGCUCGGCGUGACCGUGCACCACGCCGCCUGCGACGGCGCGGGCUCCACCAGCUUCCUCCACACCUGGGCGGCCGCCUGCGCCGGACCGGACAGGCCGCUCCCGCUGGCUCCUGUCAUCGACCGGACGCUCAUCACUGAACCGGCAGGCCUCUACGAACACUACACGAACAACCUGAUGAGCGCCGACGAGAUCGAGUUCGUCAAGAUGUCGCCGGACCAGCUCCUCGCCACGUUCACUCUGUCCAGGGAGCACCUGCAGGGCGUCAAGGACGCCGUGGCCAGCGAGGCCGCGCGGCGUGGCCAGACGCCGCCAAGGUGCUCGACGCUCGUCGCCGCCUUAGGCUUCGUCUGGUCGUGCUACCGCCGAGCCAAAGCAGAGACCGGUGACGGCGCUGCGGAUCCCGAAUCACCAACAUACUUCAUCGUCCCCGUGGACUACCGGCAGUUGAUGAAGCCGCCUGUGCCGGCGACGUACCUGGGCAACUGCAUCGGCCCGGCCAUCGGCGCAGCGGCCAAGGGGGAGCUCGCCUCGGCCGGCGCCGAUGGGCUCUUCACGGCGUGA
RNAcentral lists this ribosomal RNA (1044 nucleotides) under Triticum aestivum (bread wheat). RNAcentral's name for it is "partial small subunit ribosomal RNA". Lineage: Eukaryota; Viridiplantae; Streptophyta; Magnoliopsida; Poales; Poaceae. The record is from RNAcentral.